This 75-nucleotide transfer RNA is filed under the name archaeon. RNAcentral describes it as "tRNA-Arg". It matches the Rfam family "tRNA". From Rfam's summary of the family: Transfer RNA (tRNA) molecules are approximately 80 nucleotides in length. Their secondary structure includes four short double-helical elements and three loops (D, anti-codon, and T loops). The record is from RNAcentral.
GCUCCUGUAACUCAGUCUGGAUAGAGUGUCAGCCUUCUAAGUUGAAAGUCGCAGGUUCAAAUCCUGUCAGGAGCG